AGCACAUGAAAAGGAAAACGGUUUAUAUUAAAUUUCAAUUAUCAUCUAAACCAGUGAAUAUUGCGCAAAAGUGGGCAACUAGAAUGCGGCUACGAGACUGUAUAUUACAGAUGGUUUUGCACUAUUAAAUACAGAGAGAGAAAUCGAAAGAAAUGACAAAUGUCCCACCGAGGAAGGAACAGCAUGCGGUGUAUGGGAUGGUCAAGAGACUUUUAAUGGAGCGCUUGUAACGAAGACCAAAAAUUCGCUGAAAUUUAUAAGGAAGAAGAUAUUGCUAAAGCAGUUCCAUCAUGACUGAAAGAUAACGAGCUGAUACUCGUCGGGUAGCGAUGAAACUAAAACAACAAUUUGAACCUGGACUUGGAUCAAAAUAUUCCACAGCAACACGACCUUCAAUAGAACUCAAGACAUACCCUGUAAAGAUGAAGAAAUCCAUGUUCGAAAAGUGACUAAGAAAGAGAAAGAGAGUGAUCAUUCAAAAUUCUAAGUUUGGUUCUGGCCAUUUUUUGCUUUUCUUGAUCAUCUAAGCUUUCUGCCUGCACUAGUGACGGGUUUCUUCAAGGGUGCCGGAACCAUAGGGGCAGCUGCCCCCUGCCCUUCGUUGAUGGGAGCAGCAAAGCUUGCCCUUUAGAUGCUCAUAGACAUUGAAUGUCUAAAAUUAAAUAUUUUUCCUUGUUUGCCUUAGGAAACUAAAGUGCCCUUGUUUGAGAGACUGCCCCCCCUGCUCAGUGCCUCUGGGGUUUUUUGCUAUAAGGUAAAAAAUUGAAUAUAUCUUGGUCCAAAUUCUGGAUCUGGUGUGUAUCAAUUAAGACUGGCAAGAAAUU
Long non-coding RNA from Dendronephthya gigantea, 824 nucleotides. RefSeq lists it as uncharacterized. The transcript has 4 exons. Lineage: Eukaryota; Metazoa; Cnidaria; Anthozoa; Malacalcyonacea; Nephtheidae. The record is from RefSeq and is a predicted model, not a curated record.